AAGAGCUUAAGUUAAAUACCAAACUAUUGACCUUCAAAGUCAAAAACAAGAAUUCUAUACUUAGAUCUUA
Molecule: transfer RNA, 70 nt
Filed under: Scolytinae sp. BMNH 1039896
Lineage: Eukaryota; Metazoa; Arthropoda; Insecta; Coleoptera; Curculionidae
Description: tRNA-Trp
Source: RNAcentral